Molecule: ribosomal RNA, 253 nt
Filed under: uncultured bacterium
Lineage: Bacteria
Description: partial 16S ribosomal RNA
Rfam family: Bacterial small subunit ribosomal RNA
Source: RNAcentral
UACAGAGGGUGCGAGCGUUGUUCGGAUUCACUGGGCGUAAAGGGUGCGUAGGCGGUUGUGCAAGUCUGAUGUGAAAUCUCCGGGCUCAACCCGGAAAUGGCAUUGGAAACUGCAUGGCUAGAGGGUUGGAGGGGGGACUGGAAUACUUGGUGUAGCAGUGAAAUGCGUAGAUAUCAAGUGGAACACCAGUGGCGAAGGCGAGUCCCUGGACAGCACCUGACACUGAGGCACGAAAGCUAGGGGAGCAAACAGG